CCUACGGGUGGCAGCAGUGAGGAAUAUUGGUCAAUGGACGAGAGUCUGAACCAGCCAAGUAGCGUGAAGGAUGACUGCCCUAUGGGUUGUAAACUUCUUUUAUAUGGGAAUAAAAUGUUCCACGUGUGGGAUUUUGUAUGUACCAUAUGAAUAAGGAUCGGCUAACUCCGUGCCAGCAGCCGCGGUAAUACGGAGGAUCCGAGCGUUAUCCGGAUUUAUUGGGUUUAAAGGGAGCGUAGGUGGGUUGUUAAGUCAUGUGUGAAAGUUUGCGGCUCAACCGUAAAAUUGCAGUUGAUACUGGCAGUCUUGAGUACAGUAGAGGUGGGCGGAAUUCGUGGUGUAGCGGUGAAAUGCUUAGAUAUCACGAAGAACUCCGAUUGCGAAGGCAGUUCACUGGACUGCAACUGACACUGAGGCUCGAAAGUGUGGGUAUCAAACAGGAUUAGAUACCCGGGUAGUC
This 460-nucleotide ribosomal RNA is filed under the name uncultured bacterium. RNAcentral describes it as "partial 16S ribosomal RNA". It matches the Rfam family "Bacterial small subunit ribosomal RNA", at positions 338 to 795 of the family's 1533-position model. The record is from RNAcentral.